GAAUUGCGAAAAUUAAGGCGACUUGCAUAAAUCGCGAGCCAUCGAGUUCUUGAACGCACACUGCACUCUCCUUUCGGAGAGUCUGCCUGUUUGAGUCUUUAAAACAAAAUCUACCUCAUGGUAGGAUGAGAAUAAGCCCACUAAUGGUGGUGGUGCUUAGGAUGUAUCACUGAGCAGUCAGUUCUGCCGUAUUAUAAAAUGCAAAUUGCAAAUUGCAAAUUGUGCGUAGCAGUCUAAGACUUCUCUUUGGCAAAGCAAAGUUUAUGAACAUUAUAGCUCAACUCAGGUAGGAUUACCCGCUGAACUUAA
Molecule: unclassified non-coding RNA, 309 nt
Filed under: uncultured fungus
Lineage: Eukaryota; Fungi
Description: sequence contains ITS1
Rfam family: 5.8S ribosomal RNA (bases 1-100)
Source: RNAcentral